GCGGUAAUAAUACAUCGGUAGUAUGCGGGCUUCCCAAGCCCGACAGGCGGGUUCGACUCCCGUUUACCGCU
Molecule: transfer RNA, 71 nt
Filed under: Treponema sp.
Lineage: Bacteria; Pseudomonadati; Spirochaetota; Spirochaetia; Treponematales; Treponemataceae
Also listed under: 1 other name
Description: tRNA-Gly
Rfam family: tRNA
About the family: Transfer RNA (tRNA) molecules are approximately 80 nucleotides in length.
Source: RNAcentral